GAGUUAUCAGAGUGACCAAACUCCAGCUGCCUACAUGGCCAAGAACACGAGGAACUACUCUGCUUCGCCGGCGUCCAGUCUGUUGUGGUACUCCUGUUUGCUCUGCUCUCACGAUUAUGGGCUCCUGACCCUUCAGACCCCUUGAGCCAGCAAACUCCCUCACGCAUUCUUGGACUAAGCAUGUCUGGAUGGUGGAAAAUAUGAACUCUGUCCAACACCUCUUGACACACAAAGAAACCACGUAUCGGAGAAUGUGACUGGCCACAUGUUCCCUGGAGAGUGACCAGGGAGCCAGCUCAGUGCCACUCUGGCUUUCUACCACCAGAUUUGUUCUACCCUCUGAGAGGAGCUCAAGGCAUCUAGCCGGAGCAGGUUGUAACUGGUAAAGAAGCCUCCACCCAGAGAGGGCUAAGCUGUCUCCUCCUGGCCAUGAGGUCUGAAGGGCUGUGCUGGUUACUACUUAAUUUUUCAUAUCUUGCAAGAUAUGAAACGUAACCAGGGGGAUGAUCUAUUGAUUUCAGGCUAUUCAAAAUUCUAUAAUGCCUUUAUUGAUUAUGGAAAACCACAAGCAGAAUCAAGCUCUUGUUUCCAAGAAUUUCUCCUGGAAAUCACACCCCUUGAUGCCUUGAAUAUGAGGCCAGAGGAGGGAGGUCCCUAACCCACACCCAAAGCGUCAAAGGCCCUUACUCAGCUUGGUCUGGGGAGGAGGAUUUUUUUUUUUUUUUUUCCUAAAACAGGAUAAAACUUGUGAAGAGUCAGUGAAUUGGCUGUUUGUUUAGGAGCCUGAAGUUCAGGUGUUUGUAAUUCAACCUCUGAGUCACUUCUA
This is a non-coding RNA of Peromyscus maniculatus bairdii (prairie deer mouse), 826 nucleotides long. The record is from RefSeq and is a predicted model, not a curated record. Lineage: Eukaryota; Metazoa; Chordata; Mammalia; Rodentia; Cricetidae.